Cricetulus griseus (Chinese hamster) is the source of this 2817-nucleotide non-coding RNA. NCBI's taxonomy places the organism in Eukaryota, Metazoa, Chordata, Mammalia, Rodentia, Cricetidae. The record is from RefSeq and is a predicted model, not a curated record.
CCAUUUCCUUUACUCCUAAGUGGGCGUGCGAAGGAUUCCCAGUGUGUGUGUGUGUGUGUGUUAAAGAGGGCAGUUCAUGGAUUCCGCAAGUCUUAGAAGCGCCGGCUAUCACUACACUCCAGGCAAGGUUUUAGUCAUGAGGUAAAGAUGCAAAAGCAAAGUAGGAAGGAAAAUCAACAGAACGGACAGAAAUUCCAGUCAUGGCCUCUCAGCUUAGGUUUUAAAAAGUGAGACAUUAAUAUUGACUUAUGGGGGUGUAUGCAUGCCUGACCGAGUUUCUGUGCAAAAUUGUCUGCAGGUGACCACGGAGGCUUGAAAGCACCAGGCCGUCCCCCGGAACUGGGUUACCAGUGAUUGUGAGUGCUGGGAACUGAACCUGGGUUCCCUGCAACAGCAGUAAGCGCCUUUAACUGCUGAGCGAUCCCUCCAGCACCCAUACCGUAUUUUAGAUUAUAAAUACCGAUCAGAAAAAGUAUUAACAGUAAAGAAAGGUUUGUUAUAUGGGACUGUAAUGUGGCCAAAGAAGAAGGUUCUCAAGGAAAAGAUGGCUUUCUAGGAAGGAGGUGACACAGAUGAAAUGAACAUGCAGAUAGAUAAACUUCAGGAAUUGCCAUCAGUCAGAAGGCCCAGCCAUUCCAAAGGCCAUGAAACAAAAUAUCAGGGAAGCCUGGGGGCUCAGAAUUGAGAGAAGGAAUCAAAGAUGGAAGGCAGUCAGAGAGCCGGCAGGCUAAAUACCGGGUGAGGUAGGGGAGGGAAAGCCACUAGAAGGAUUUUAAUAGCCAAGUGAUGUUAUCCAAUUUCUUGAGUCAGUAGACUGAGGACAGAAGUAAUUAAGGUAAUCAGAAGGCUUUUGUUUUCUUGAAGGAAACAUAAUAGUGACUUCAAGACAGGUACUAAGAUGUGUCCAGUCAUUUUCUUGGGGUACACAGUGAACAUACACAAAGGAACUAUGAAUGACGGUUUAUUUUCACUAAGUAGGCUUUGGGAAACACAUUAAAUGACUUCUGUAACUUUUAGAAUGAUGAACGUAAGAUUGUGGUUUUGCCAUUUGAAACUUGAAUGAGUCUAGACAAGACACGUGAUUUCUCCAAGUCUAUAAAGUAACGAUGACAUCUUACAAGAACCUGGUGCCAGAGUAAUUGGUGGUUAAAAGAAGUCACAAGUAACUUGGAUGAAGUAGGAAUUUCAACUAAGGAGAUACUGAGGUGAUGAAAAAUACAGCAAAGAUAGGAAUCUCUAAAAGUCAUAGCUUAUGUUGUGUUUUACUCUUUCAUGUGUGCUCUAAAAUCAUGUACUUGAUAUUGUGUGUAAGGAGCUUCAUAUGUUAAUGGCUCUCUGUGUUUCAUGAAAUUAUGAUUACAAGUUAGGACACAAUUAAUGUCAUGAAACAAUUUCUAUAAUGCCUUUUCAAUUUUUUAUUAUUAGUAAAGAAAGCAGGUUUUUGUUUUCAUCAGUAAAGUACAAAAAUAUAUUGGAUGUAUUGCCUUCUCUGCCCUUUUUUUCUUUCUCCAUCAAGUUCUUAUGUGUGCAUGUAUGUACAUACAGAUAAGUAUUAAAUCUAUUUUAAUCUCAUAUUUUUAGCAAAUUGCUACAGGGAAUAAGGAAGUGUCUCUCAAACCAUCUAGACAAUACAAGUUCCAGUAAAUGCUAGUGGAUGCUGUUCCCUUCAGAUUCCAUCAUUAACCACAUUGGAAAAUGCUUGAUAAUUAUGUUUGGAGAUAAUGCAGCAUGCUCAUUAAAAGCGUUAGCUCCAGCAUCAGACAGACUGGGGUUUCAAUCCUCAUUUACUAAAUAACUAUACUACCUGGGCAAAUUAAUUUUAAUUCUAGUUGUCUUCUGUGUUUAAUGGGGAUGCAGUAUUCAUCAAUGAUCCUUGUACUUAGCCAGCAAGUACUAAAUAUUCCAUAGGUAUCACAUGUUAUUCCUAUUAUCUGUGAGAAAUGUUGUGCAUAUUAGCAUAUUAAAAGCUCCAGCCGGUCAUUAGUGGCUCACUCCUUUAAUCCCAGCACUUGGGAGGCAGAGGCAGUCAGAUCUCUGAGUUCGAGGCCAUCCUGGUCUACUGAGGGAGUGCCAGGAUAGGUUCCAAAGCUACAAAGAGAAACCUUGUCUCAAAAAACAAACAAACAGACAAAUAAAUAAAUAAAUUUAAGAAAGCUCUAAACACACUAAAAGACUUUUAAAACAUCUAUACCAAACUGACCAACAGUGUUCAGGCAACAGGUGAAGAAAAGGCCCGGUGUAGGGGAAAGGAUCCUAAUAUAAAUUAACAAAGUGAAGCAGGGAGCUGUUGGAUACAUAGUCUGUUGAGUGUUUUUCACUUCAGGUUUGUUGACUGUAACCACUUUUUCUAAGAAUUGUAUUUUUUCCUCAGUGCUGCAAAUUGCUAGUAAACACUAACAAAAACUUAGGUAUCUGUUACUAUGACAAAACAUUGACCAAAAACAACUUGGGCAAAAACGAGUUUUGUUUCUGCUUACCCUUUCAGGUAUUGGUGAAGUCAGGCUGGCCCUCAAGGCAGGAACGUGAGGCAGAAACCAGGGAGGACUAGUGCAUCAAGCUAGUUCUCCUGCUCUUCAUUCAUUGAGCUGGUUUUCUUAGUAGCUCAGGACCACCUGCCCCCUCACAAGGAGUUCAGGCUGCAGUCUAGUCUGUGUGAUUCUGUCUAGUUUCCUUUCUCCAGUAGUUUGCUCAGUAAGUUCAGAUCUUUAUAAGCUCCACAGUCAUAUGGCAAUUCCUGUUUGGAGAUUAAGUAUGCAAAGGUUUUCAAGUGGCUUCAAUGUAUUUAUUACUAAGGCCAGGACAACUCAGAGAAGUUAA